This 228-nucleotide unclassified non-coding RNA is filed under the name Hevea brasiliensis (rubber tree). Lineage: Eukaryota; Viridiplantae; Streptophyta; Magnoliopsida; Malpighiales; Euphorbiaceae. The record is from RNAcentral.
CUCCUUUCCCCGCGGCGCACGUCAUUAUCCCCGCCUCUAUCUUUCUCCCCGGAGGUAAGCUACACACCCCAUCAUUCCUCCAUUUCAUUUUGAUCUGUCUCUCCCACCUGAAAACUAUAACACUUUUCUACUUAAGCCAAAUUAAGCCUAUAUUGCUGUUGUUGCAAUUUUUUUUUCUUUUUUCUAAUUUUAUGAUUUGAGGUUAUUUGUUUAUUUGGCUUGAUCAGG